GGCCUGAUGGCGCAAUGGUAGCGCGCUACUUUCCGGUUGUCUCCUGCUGGUAGAGGUUCUGGGUUCGAGUCCCAGUUGGGUCG
Parathielavia hyrcaniae is the source of this 83-nucleotide non-coding RNA. The record is from the annotation of a GenBank genome assembly. Lineage: Eukaryota; Fungi; Ascomycota; Sordariomycetes; Sordariales; Chaetomiaceae.